GUUUACAAGUGUGUGCCUUCACAAGGGGAGAGGCUCCCUUUAUAUAGAAAUUUUCUAGCCUUUACUGUUGAGUCAUAAGAUCUUUACUGUGCCUUCACGCAGACUUUUUACUGUUCAUAAAUAGUAGCUUGUCUGCUUCUUUUUACUGUUGAGGAAUAAUAUGUCUGCCACUGUUGUUUCUUUUUACUGUUGGGGAAUAGUCUGUUUGCCACUUCUGCCUUUUACUAUUCUUAUAUUUAUUCUGACUCUGACUCAGAUGAGGAUGAGGACGAAGAUGAGGUGUCCUUUCUUUUCUUGCCUCUUUUCUUUAAUUUUUCUUUCUUUUCUUUUUGCACCUUUAUUUUCUUUUUAUCCUUUCUUUUCCCUGUUUUACUCUUGAUUUUUACUGGUGGUAGAACUCCAUAACAGUCGUUUUCAUUGCUGUCGCAGUGUGAAGAUGCCUGGUUCUUACUGGAGGAUGACGUCUUGGAUGACGCUGUCGACUCCGAUUCUGAACUUGACUGUUUUUUAGUCUUUCUUCUACUGGAUGUCUUCUUCUGUUUACUGGAUGACUUUUUUGAUGAAGUUUUACUAGAGGACUCUUUACUGAGAUCUUGCUUUAUCUUUUCCUUUUCUCCAUAAGUAAGCUGAUUGUAAAACCAAAUACAAGUUUGAGUAAAAUUGAGCAGUUUGAAGAUGAUAAAGUAUCAUUAAAAUUUAAUAGAAGUGCAAGUAGUAGAUAUACAGGAUCUUCAUCUUCAGUAGUAACAGAAGAUGUAGGCAGAGUUUCAAACCUACCUUCAGUAAUAUAUGCUACAUACAAAGGAAAUGAACCUAAACCAGUAAUCCAGACCAUAGUAAAACUCAGGUUUUCUACAUCAGAUAUUCCAGACAGACACCUUAAAUUGAAAGGAGUAGAUUAUAGUUCUUCAGUUUCUCAAGCAGUUUAUAAUCCGAUAGAAAAUUAUUUAAAUCAGCAGGUUGAGAUAACACCUUCUUCACCAGAAUCACCAUCAGCAUCUGCUAUAACAGAAAACAUAAAUAAUAUAAAUAGAGAAUUAAAUGUUCUUAGUAAGAAAAAAA
This 1062-nucleotide long non-coding RNA is filed under the name Manihot esculenta (cassava). Its description in RNAcentral is "long non-coding RNA (MESC_LNC012884)". The record is from RNAcentral. Lineage: Eukaryota; Viridiplantae; Streptophyta; Magnoliopsida; Malpighiales; Euphorbiaceae.